RNAcentral lists this long non-coding RNA (1249 nucleotides) under Monodelphis domestica (gray short-tailed opossum). RNAcentral's name for it is "lncRNA (ENSMODG00000031758.2)". Lineage: Eukaryota; Metazoa; Chordata; Mammalia; Didelphimorphia; Didelphidae. The record is from RNAcentral.
AUGUAAUAUUCAGCACUGUACAUUGAACAGACUGGAAUUGGUCCCAGUAAAUGCUGAUACUCAGGCAUGUUGACUUAGUCUAACCAUACGAAGGUCAUAGUAUCCACUGUAUUAUAAAGGGUGAUUAAUUUUUAUCAUAAGGGAUUCAGUAUUUCAGUAUAGAGAUGGGGAAAGAGAGGAGAACCUCCUUAUUCAAAGUGGAGUUCAGGAGAGACUACUAAUGUUUAGGGUUGGCUCAGAGAGAGGAGAGGGGGUUUGAAGAUUUUCCCUCUUCUGCCUUCCCUCCUUAGCUAUGGCUUCUCUCCCAGAUUUGCUCUUGUUCCUCUUGUUCCCCCUCUACUACUUGAGACCAAAGGGUUUCCCCUUGAUCUGUUCACUCACACACUGCUUGGGGAAGUUAAUUCUUUAAUGUCAACUCAGUCAAGGUAGUAGUAGUCUCUCGGUAACUGAGGAUGACGAUUGUCUGUGCGUUUUCAUCUAUGAUAGAUGAGCGUGCACAAAGACACUUAUGCGUGAAGGAGAUUUAAGUGGAAGAGUCGAUGCACAGAGACAGUCCCACUCUCUCGGCGUUGGAAGCCUGGGUCCAGUAGCAUGAAAAGUCGUUACACCUGGAGACUUCCUCAGCUGCAUUGGAUGGCCGUGUUGUCUUUUGUGCUCCAACACGCCCUAAGCACUCCACAGUGCUUUGCUGCGUCGCCCUCUCAGCCAUCAAGAUUCCUGCCACUGCUAGAUUACUUCUGUGACAUGUUUUAGCCAGAAUUCAAAGGAUACCUCAUUUAGUGAGUAGGGUCAGCUCCUUGAAAAAACAAAACAAAACUAUACUUGACUGACAGCCUUAACUCAAUUCCCAACUGUUGAUGACACAGGAUGAUGAUAUCAUUGCAUCUUGAGCAGGAGAUAAUGAAAGUAAUGCCCUUUCCAUUAUAAUGACCUCACUUCAUCCUCACUCACACCUUUUAUGAAAAUGAAUUCAAAAUUUCUUACCAGUUUCAUACCCUAUCAUUUUACUUUAUUUAUUUAUGAGGAUUUUUUGUAACUUCUCCUUUAUAAAUAAUAACAAUAGCUGUAUUUAUAUAGAACUUAAAGAUUUACAAAGGACUACAUGUGUAUUAUCUCAUUUGAUCUACAUAAUAACCCUGUGAGAUAAGUUAUUAUUAUCUCCAUUUUACAGAUGCAGAAACUGAGGCUGAGAGAGACUAAAUGACUUGCCUGGGGUCACACAGCUAGUCUGAGGCAGGAUUUUUAAAAA